RNAcentral lists this ribosomal RNA (460 nucleotides) under uncultured bacterium. Its description in RNAcentral is "partial 16S ribosomal RNA". It matches the Rfam family "Bacterial small subunit ribosomal RNA", at positions 338 to 795 of the family's 1533-position model. The record is from RNAcentral.
CCUACGGGAGGCAGCAGUGAGGAAUAUUGGUCAAUGGACGGAAGUCUGAACCAGCCAUGCCGCGUGCAGGAAGACGGCUCUAUGAGUUGUAAACUGCUUUUGUACAAGGGUAAACCUGAACACGUGUAUUCAGCUGAAAGUACUGUACGAAUAAGGAUCGGCUAACUCCGUGCCAGCAGCCGCGGUAAUACGGAGGAUCCAAGCGUUAUCCGGAUUUAUUGGGUUUAAAGGGUGCGUAGGCGGAUUGAUAAGUUAGAGGUGAAAUGUCCGAGCUUAACUCGGGAACUGCCUCUAAUACUGUUGGUCUAGAGAGUAGAUGCGGUAGGCGGAAUGUAUGGUGUAGCGGUGAAAUGCUUAGAGAUCAUACAGAACACCGAUUGCGAAGGCAGCUUACCAAUCUAUAUCUGACGUUGAGGCACGAAAGCGUGGGGAGCAAACAGGAUUAGAUACCCGUGUAGUC